GAUGAACGCUGGCGGCGUGCUUAACACAUGCAAGUCGAACGGGAUCCAUCAGGCUUUGCUUGGUGGUGAGAGUGGCGAACGGGUGAGUAAUGCGUGACCGACCUGCCCCAUACACCGGAAUAGCUCCUGGAAACGGGUGGUAAUGCCGGAUGCUCCAGUUGAUCGCAUGGUCUUCUGGGAAAGCUUUCGCGGUAUGGGAUGGGGUCGCGUCCUAUCAGCUUGACGGCGGGGUAACGGCCCACCGUGGCUUCGACGGGUAGCCGGCCUGAGAGGGCGACCGGCCACAUUGGGACUGAGAUACGGCCCAGACUCCUACGGGAGGCAGCAGUGGGGAAUAUUGCACAAUGGGCGCAAGCCUGAUGCAGCGACGCCGCGUGAGGGAUGGAGGCCUUCGGGUUGUAGACCUCUUUUAUCGGGGAGCAAGCGAGAGUGAGUUUACCCGUUGAAUAAG
RNAcentral lists this ribosomal RNA (451 nucleotides) under uncultured bacterium. Its description in RNAcentral is "bacterial SSU rRNA". It matches the Rfam family "Bacterial small subunit ribosomal RNA", at positions 28 to 490 of the family's 1533-position model. The record is from RNAcentral.